UACGUAGGGGGCAAGCGUUGUCCGGAAUUAUUGGGCGUAAAGAGCUCGUAGGUGGCUUGUUGCGUCUGCCGUGAAAUCCCGUGGCUUAACUGCGGGUCUGCGGUGGAUACGGGCAGGCUAGAGGCUGGUAGGGGCAAGCGGAAUUCCUGGUGUAGCGGUGAAAUGCGCAGAUAUCAGGAGGAACACCGGUGGCGAAGGCGGCUUGCUGGGACGGUACUGACGCUGAGACGCGAAAGCGUGGGGAGCAAACAGG
This 253-nucleotide ribosomal RNA is filed under the name uncultured bacterium. Its description in RNAcentral is "partial 16S ribosomal RNA". It matches the Rfam family "Bacterial small subunit ribosomal RNA", at positions 524 to 776 of the family's 1533-position model. The record is from RNAcentral.